RNAcentral lists this ribosomal RNA (427 nucleotides) under uncultured bacterium. RNAcentral describes it as "partial 16S ribosomal RNA". It matches the Rfam family "Bacterial small subunit ribosomal RNA", at positions 355 to 774 of the family's 1533-position model. The record is from RNAcentral.
UGGGGAAUUUUGGACAAUGGGCGAAAGCCUGAUCCAGCAAUGCCGCGUGAGUGAAGAAGGCCUUCGGGUUGUAAAGCUCUUUUGUCAGGGAAGAAACGGUGAGGGCUAAUAUCCCUUGCUAAUGACGGUACCUGAAGAAUAAGCACCGGCUAACUACGUGCCAGCAACCGCGGUAAUACGUAGGGUGCAAGCGUUAAUCGGAAUUACUGGGCGUAAAGCGUGCGCAGGCGGUUUUGUAAGUCUGAUGUGAAAUCCCCGGGCUCAACCUGGGAAUUGCAUUGGAGACUGCAAGGCUAGAAUCUGGCAGAGGGGGGUAGAAUUCCACGUGUAGCAGUGAAAUGCGUAGAUAUGUGGAGGAACACCGAUGGCGAAGGCAGCCCCCUGGGUCAAGAUUGACGCUCAUGCACGAAAGCGUGGGGAGCAAACA